This 841-nucleotide ribosomal RNA is filed under the name Streptomyces thermocarboxydus. Its description in RNAcentral is "bacterial SSU rRNA". It matches the Rfam family "Bacterial small subunit ribosomal RNA", at positions 38 to 892 of the family's 1533-position model. Lineage: Bacteria; Bacillati; Actinomycetota; Actinomycetes; Kitasatosporales; Streptomycetaceae. The record is from RNAcentral.
GGGAAUGGCCUGCGCUACCAUGCAGUCGACGAUGAAGCCCUUCGGGGUGGAUUAGUGGCGAACGGGUGAGUAACACGUGGGCAAUCUGCCCUGCACUCUGGGACAAGCCCUGGAAACGGGGUCUAAUACCGGAUACUGAUCGCCUUGGGCAUCCUUGGUGAUCGAAAGCUCCGGCGGUGCAGGAUGAGCCCGCGGCCUAUCAGCUUGUUGGUGAGGUAAUGGCUCACCAAGGCGACGACGGGUAGCCGGCCUGAGAGGGCGACCGGCCACACUGGGACUGAGACACGGCCCAGACUCCUACGGGAGGCAGCAGUGGGGAAUAUUGCACAAUGGGCGAAAGCCUGAUGCAGCGACGCCGCGUGAGGGAUGACGGCCUUCGGGUUGUAAACCUCUUUCAGCAGGGAAGAAGCGAAAGUGACGGUACCUGCAGAAGAAGCGCCGGCUAACUACGUGCCAGCAGCCGCGGUAAUACGUAGGGCGCGAGCGUUGUCCGGAAUUAUUGGGCGUAAAGAGCUCGUAGGCGGCUUGUCGCGUCGGUUGUGAAAGCCCGGGGCUUAACCCCGGGUCUGCAGUCGAUACGGGCAGGCUAGAGUUCGGUAGGGGAGAUCGGAAUUCCUGGUGUAGCGGUGAAAUGCGCAGAUAUCAGGAGGAACACCGGUGGCGAAGGCGGAUCUCUGGGCCGAUACUGACGCUGAGGAGCGAAAGCGUGGGGAGCGAACAGGAUUAGAUACCCUGGUAGUCCACGCCGUAAACGGUGGGCACUAGGUGUGGGCGACAUUCCACGUCGUCCGUGCCGCAGCUAACGCAUUAAGUGCCCCGCCCUGGGGAGUACGGCCCGAAU